RNAcentral lists this ribosomal RNA (253 nucleotides) under uncultured bacterium. RNAcentral's name for it is "partial 16S ribosomal RNA". It matches the Rfam family "Bacterial small subunit ribosomal RNA", at positions 524 to 776 of the family's 1533-position model. The record is from RNAcentral.
UACGGAGGGUGCAAGCGUUGUUCGGAAUCAUUGGGCGUAAAGCGGGUGUAGGCGGUUACGCAUGUCCGAUGUGAAAGCCCGGGGCUUAACCCCGGAAGUGCAUUGGAAACUGCGUGACUUGAGUCUCGGAGAGGAUGGUGGAAUUCCUGGUGUAGAGGUGAAAUUCGUAGAUAUCAGGAGGAACACCGGUGGCGAAGGCGACCAUCUGGACGAUGACUGACGCUGAGACCCGAAAGCGUGGGGAGCAAACAGG